This 239-nucleotide long non-coding RNA is filed under the name Solanum tuberosum (potato). Its description in RNAcentral is "long non-coding RNA (STUB_LNC007722)". Lineage: Eukaryota; Viridiplantae; Streptophyta; Magnoliopsida; Solanales; Solanaceae. The record is from RNAcentral.
GGAAUUGUAACAAAGAUUGGUCAUUCUCAAUUUUAAACUCAAUGAACCUUGUAUUGUUACCUUGAAUUGAACAUGGAUAUUUUCCAGAAAUAUCCAUAUGAAUAUUUUCACUAUUUGUUCCCAUUUUCUCAUGCAACAAUCCAACCAAUUCAACAUAGUUAGUUGAGGUAGACAUGCUAAUAAUCAUUCUAGCACAUUCAGUAUACCUAAAUCCGUUCAUAUCCGUAAUUAUUUCGCCA